GGGUCUCAGUGGAGCCCAGCUGGAGGUCUUGAGCAGACGUGUUGAAGAAAUAAAUUACCACCACCACCACCACUCACCUGAACACACGCUGCACCUUGUGUCUGAUGUGCUCCUUGGUGGUGUUCCCGAGCGGCGGCGCCUCCACCAGGUACACCCCGAACAGCCUCGCCACGGCCAGCACCUCCCGCUGCCGCCCGUCGCCGUACACAGCCACCUUCUCCCUGUUCAGCCCAGGCGCCUCCCACAAGCUCUUCAACGUCCUGGAAAGAGAAGGUUCCAACGCCUCACUCACCUCGUCGCCCGCAUGGAAGAACAAAUCAUGCCAGCUGCUCACGCCACAGUCACAGAGGGCGCCGUAUCCUUCGAAGCGCUGGCAGAACACACGGCGGGCCUCGUUCCGUUCGUUCACCGGCCAGUCACACUCUCCUGAAGGCACGGGAGGCGAGGUUGAGGAAUGAGAGACUGAGAAAUAGGAAAGUAGAAUAGAAAGAGAAGAAUGAUAGAGAAAUGGGAGAUGAAGAUUUUGAUGGUAAGGUAAGCUAAGUUGAACGGAGGAGUAGAAAGAGAAGAGUAGGAGAGAAGGAAGACUAGAGUAGAGAAGAGGAACGAAGAAAAAGAUUGGAAAGAUGUGGGAGAAGAUGGAGAUUUUGAUGGUAAGGGAAGCGAAGUUGAGAAAGACGGGGAAAUGGGAAAGAGGAGUAGAAAGAAAAGAAUAGGAAAGAUAUGGGUGAUGAAAAUUUUGUCGGUAAGGAAAGCGAAGUUGAGGAAUGGGAAAUGGUGUAAUGGGAUCGGAAAUAGAAAUAAGAGAAAAAUGGGUAAGAAAUGGAGUGGUGGAAAUUUUGAUGGUUAAGGAAGCAAAAAUGGAGGAAAGGGAAAUGGGGCAAUGAGAAAGAUGAGUAGAAAGAAUUGAGUAGAAGACAGAAGAAUGGGUAAGAAAUGGGAAGUGAUGGAUCGUGUCAAGGUAGGGAAGAAAUAAUGAAGACUGCGAGAAUAUGAAGGAAAUGAGAAAUAUGAAGGAAAUAAGGAUAAGCUAAACUGAAGUUGAGGAAUGGGAAAUGGGGGAAAUGAGGAAGAGUAAGAGAAAGAAGAGUAAAAGAGGAGUAGAAGAGAAGAACGGAAAAGGAUACGAAAGCGAAGGGCAUGAAUAAUGGGGAAUAUAAUGAUGGAACCGUCUUUGAGGAAACUUAAUUAAGAGACACGGUAAUACAAAUUGAGAUAGGGUGAGAGAUUUGGGUAUAGCUGUAUCGGUUAAAUAAUAGUUUGUUUAUUUAUCUAUUAGGCUAUCUAUUUCAUUCUAUCAUUGUUGGCAUUCAUUCUCUUCUAUUGAUAAAUUUUCUGGUAAUUAAAGGAACACAGCUACCCAAUCAGCUAUUUCCUUUGCUUGUUAUUCGUUUGGUAUGCAAUUUCUUCUGUUUAUUAAAGUUUCCCGUACACUAAAGGAAACUAACUAUUUAUUAGGCUAUAUUUUCAUUGUGGCAUCCCAAUUAAUGGUUUUCUGUU
Long non-coding RNA from Eriocheir sinensis (Chinese mitten crab), 1500 nucleotides. RefSeq lists it as uncharacterized. Lineage: Eukaryota; Metazoa; Arthropoda; Malacostraca; Decapoda; Varunidae. The transcript is spliced from 4 exons. The record is from RefSeq and is a predicted model, not a curated record.